RNAcentral lists this ribosomal RNA (430 nucleotides) under uncultured bacterium. RNAcentral describes it as "partial 16S ribosomal RNA". It matches the Rfam family "Bacterial small subunit ribosomal RNA", at positions 338 to 795 of the family's 1533-position model. The record is from RNAcentral.
CCUACGGGUGGCUGCAGUCGAGAAUCUUCGGCAAUGGACGAAAGUCUGACCGAGCGACGCCGCGUGCGGGAUGAAGGUCUUCGGAUUGUAAACCGCUGUCAGAGGGGAUGCAGAGCCUCAGAGGAAGCACGGGCUAAGUUCGUGCCAGCAGCCGCGGUAAUACGAACUGUGCGAACGUUAUUCGGAAUCACUGGGCUUAAAGGGUGCGUAGGCGGUUUUCUAAGUCACGUGUGAAAUCUUCUGGCUCAACCAGAAAACUGCGCGUGAUACUGGAGAACUUGAGUGAGGUAGGGGUGUGUGGAACUUCCGGUGGAGCGGUGAAAUGUGUAGAGAUCGGAAGGAACGCCAGCAGCGAAAGCGGCACACUGGGCUUUCUGACGCUGAGGCACGAAAGCUAGGGGAGUGAACGGGAUUAGAUACCCUUGUAGUC